RNAcentral lists this ribosomal RNA (496 nucleotides) under uncultured bacterium. Its description in RNAcentral is "partial 16S ribosomal RNA". It matches the Rfam family "Bacterial small subunit ribosomal RNA", at positions 28 to 507 of the family's 1533-position model. The record is from RNAcentral.
GAUGAACGCUGGCGGCGUGCCUAAUACAUGCAAGUCGAACGCUGAAGGAAGGAGCUUGCUCUUUCCGUGUUAGUUGCGAACGGGUGAGUAACGCGUAGGUAACCUGCCUGGUAGCGGGGGAUAACUAUGGGAAACGAUAGCUAAUACCGCAUAACAGUAUAUGUUGCAUGAUAUCUACUUAAAAGGUGCAAUUGCACCACUACCAGAUGGACCUGCGUUUUAUUAGCUAGUUGGUAAGGUAACGGCUCACCAAGGCAACGAUACAUAGCCGACCUGAGAGGUGGAUCGCCAACACGGGAACGAGAAAACGGCCCAGACCCUUACGGAGGCAGGAGUAGGGAAAUCUUGGGCAAGGACGGAAGUCUGACCGGGCCAAGGCGGGUGAGGGAAUAAGGUUCUCGGAUCGUAAAGCUCCGUUGUAAGGGAAGAAAGAGUGGGGGAGUGGAAAGUUCACACUGUGACGGUAGCUUACCAGAAAGCGACGGCUAACUACGUG